This 440-nucleotide ribosomal RNA is filed under the name uncultured bacterium. RNAcentral describes it as "bacterial SSU rRNA". It matches the Rfam family "Bacterial small subunit ribosomal RNA", at positions 338 to 795 of the family's 1533-position model. The record is from RNAcentral.
CCUACGGGUGGCUGCAGUGGGGAAUAUUGCACAAUGGGGGAAACCCUGAUGCAGCAACGCCGCGUGAGCGAUGAAGGCCUUCGGGUCGUAAAGCUCUGUCCUAAGGGAAGAAUACUGACGGUACCUUAGGAGGAAGCCCCGGCUAACUACGUGGCAGCAGCCGCGGCAAUACGUAGGGGGCUAGCGUUACCCGGAUUUACUGGGAGUAAAGGGUGCGCAGGCACCCCUUCCAGGUGAAGGUGAAAGGCUACGGCUCAACCGUAGUAAGCCUUUGAUACUGGAGGCCUUGUGUGCAGGAUAGGAGAGUGGAAUUCCCGUUGUAGCGGUGAAAUGCGUAGUUAUUGGGAGGAUCAUCAGUUGCGAAGGCGGCUCUCUGGCCUGUAACUGACGCUGGGGCACGAAAGCGUGGGGAGCGAACAGGAUUAGAUACCCUUGUAGUC